RNAcentral lists this ribosomal RNA (910 nucleotides) under Paramysis intermedia. RNAcentral describes it as "SSU rRNA". It matches the Rfam family "Eukaryotic small subunit ribosomal RNA", at positions 32 to 936 of the family's 1831-position model. The record is from RNAcentral. Lineage: Eukaryota; Metazoa; Arthropoda; Malacostraca; Mysida; Mysidae.
UUGUCUCAAAGAUUAAGCCAUGCAUGUCUAAGUACAGACCGAUAUACAAGGUGAAACCGCGAAUGGCUCAUUAAAUCAGUUAUGGUUCAUUGGAUCUUACACGAGUUACUUGGAUAACCGUGGUAAUUCUAGAGCUAAUACAUGCAACUAAGCUCCGACCGCAAGGGAAGAGCGCAGUUAUUAGAUCAAAACCAAUCAGGUUCCUAGUCACCUGAUGAAGUUGUGAUGACUCUGAAUAACAUUGAGCUGAGCGCAUGGUCUUUGGACCGGCGCCGCAUCUUUCAAGUGUCUGCCUUAUCAGCUUGAUUGUAGGUUAUGUGCCUACAAUGGCUAUAACGGGUAACGGGGAAUCAGGGUUCGAUUCCGGAGAGGGAGCCUGAGAAACGGCUACCACAUCUAAGGAAGGCAGCAGGCACGCAAAUUACCCACUCCCAGUUCGGGGAGGUAGUGACGAAAUAUAACGAUGCGUGUCUCUAAUUGAGGCUUCGCAAUCGGAAUGAGUACACUCUAAAUCCUUGUACGAGGAUCAAUUGGAGGGCAAGUCUGGUGCCAGCAGCCGCGGUAAUUCCAGCUCCAAUAGCAUAUAUUAAAGUUGUUGUGGUUAAAAAGCUCGUAGUUGGAUGUCUAAUAUUGACUGAUGGUGCGCCUCUGGCGAUUACUGUCGGUUGAAAUAACUAGUCAGCUUGCAUGCGAUGCUCUUUAUUGAGUGUCGUGCGUGGCUGGCAUGAUUACUUUGAAAAAAUUAGAGUGCUCAAAGCAGGUUAAUGCCUGAAUAUGAUGCAUGGAAUAAUGGAAUAUGAUCUCGGUUCUAUUUCGUUGGUUUACUGAACCUGAGUUAAUGAUUAAAAGAGACGGACGGGGGCAUUCGUAUUGCGACGCUAGAGGUGAAAUUCUAUGACCGUCGCAAGAC